Molecule: ribosomal RNA, 280 nt
Filed under: uncultured bacterium
Lineage: Bacteria
Description: partial 16S ribosomal RNA
Rfam family: Bacterial small subunit ribosomal RNA
Source: RNAcentral
GACUGCUAAUACCGCAUAAUGUCUUCGGACCAAACGGGGCUUCGGCUCCGGCGCAGAGAGAGGCCCAUUCUCUUAUUAGCUAGUUGGUGAGGUAAAGGCUCACCAAGGCGACGAUCUCUAGCUGUUCUGAGAGGAAGAUCAUCCACACUGUGACUGAGACACGGCCCAGACUCCUACGGGAGGCAGCUGUGGGCAAUAUUGCACAAUGGGGGAAACCCUGAUUUAGCCUUUCCGCGUGUGUGAAUAAGGCCUUCGGGUUGUAAAUCACUUUCUGUUGUGA